This 95-nucleotide ribosomal RNA is filed under the name uncultured bacterium. RNAcentral describes it as "partial 16S ribosomal RNA". It matches the Rfam family "Bacterial small subunit ribosomal RNA", at positions 1388 to 1482 of the family's 1533-position model. The record is from RNAcentral.
CACCGCCCGUCACACCACGAAAGCCAGCUGCACCAGAAGUCGCCGCGCCAACCGCAAGGAGGCAGGCGCCCAAGGUAUGGUCGGUGAUUGGGGUG